CCUACGGGCGGCAGCAGUGAGGAAUAUUGGUCAAUGGGCGGAAGCCUGAACCAGCCAAGUCGCGUUCGGGAUGAAGGCCCUACGGGUCGUAAACCGCUUUUGCCCGGGGAGCAAAGCGAGUCACGUGUGCCUCAUUGAGAGUACCCGAAGAAAAAGCAUCGGCUAACUCCGUGCCAGCAGCCGCGGUAAUACGGAGGAUGCGCGCGUUAUCCGGAUUUAUUGGGUUGAAAGGGUGCGCAGGCGGAGGUGCAAGUCAGCGGUCAAAGUGCGGUGCUCAACCCCGUACUGCCGUUGAAACUGAAUCCAUUGAGUGCGCGAGAAGUAUGCGGAAUGCGUGGUGGAGCGGUGAAAUGCAAAGAUAUCACGCAGAACUCCGAUUGCGAAGGCAGCAUACCGGCGCGCAACUGACGCUCAUGCACGAAAGCGUGGGUAUCGAACAGGAUUAGAUACCCCUGUAGUC
RNAcentral lists this ribosomal RNA (460 nucleotides) under uncultured bacterium. RNAcentral describes it as "partial 16S ribosomal RNA". It matches the Rfam family "Bacterial small subunit ribosomal RNA", at positions 338 to 795 of the family's 1533-position model. The record is from RNAcentral.